CAGUCGCCGCGGUAAUACGAAGGGUGCAAGCGUUAAUCGGAAUUACUGGGCGUAAAGGGUGCGUAGGCGGUGAGUUAAGUCUGUUGUGAAAUCCCCGGGCUCAACCUGGGAAUGGCAAUGGAUACUGGCUCGCUAGAGUGUGAUAGAGGAUGGUGGAAUUCCCGGUGUAGCGGUGAAAUGCGUAGAGAUCGGGAGGAACAUCAGUGGCGAAGGCGGCCAUCUGGAUCAACACUGACGCUGAAGCACGAAAGCGUGGGGAGCAAACAGGAUUAGAUACCCCUGUAGUCCCUGUCUCUUAUAC
Molecule: ribosomal RNA, 301 nt
Filed under: uncultured bacterium
Lineage: Bacteria
Description: partial 16S ribosomal RNA
Rfam family: Bacterial small subunit ribosomal RNA
Source: RNAcentral